AGAGCCGAGCAACCUUUUUUAUGAGGACUGAAAUGAUGAGGAGUUUGGUUACUUGAGAGCAAGAGCGUCUGAUGAACGAGUUGGGUUAAACGUUUAAUUGGUCAAACUACGUUGAGUGAAUAUAGUGUAUUUAUUAUCCUUUAUUUAGAAUCUUAGUCUAUUAUUUUUGAUUUUUUUAUUUAGAAUUUAGAUUUAGAUAUUUGUUAUAAUUUAUUGUUUGUUGGACCCAUCAGAUCAGUUAACUAAAAAACGGAUUAUUCUUUUACUUUUGGAAGACCCAAUCACAUAAUUUCAUUAUCUCCCUUCUAAGCCUUCUAUUUCAUCUACUAUUUCUAUUUCCCUAUUACACUACUUGCCCAUAGUUGACUUAGGUCAAGAUAGAUUGAAUCAAUUUAAUUUGAACCAGAGGUAGAGUAAGGAUUUGAAACAUAUAGAUUUAAGAUACUAAUCCUUUUAAAUUAUCGAGAUCUAAAUUAAUAAUUUAAAGUUCUAUAUAUAUUUAAUGGAUAUUUUAAUACAAAUAUGCGGUUAGAAUAAAACAGUUGAGUUUCGCCGAACCCGUAAUUCAUAUUUUAGCUUCGCUCCUGAUUUGAACAAUGGGAUAUUACAUAAACAAUCCAACUCAAAACCAUUGUCUCAUUUAUUUAUAAUUUGUUUAAUUAUCAAAGCAUCUUUUUCUUUUAUAUCGUAGAGAAAGUUUUUGUUAAAGUAUAGAGAAACUAUAUAUAACCAAUAAAAUAUAUUUUUUACAAAAAAACAUCUACUAUGAUAAGUUUUUUUAGGGUUAAUGUGGGCUAUCUGGUUACCUGACUUAAGUUUUUGCACGGGUUAAUUUGAUUUAUAACCGAUCAAUGAAUAUAAUUCAGGCUUAAUACCUAUAUUAAUACUUAUUUUUUA
RNAcentral lists this long non-coding RNA (897 nucleotides) under Nicotiana tabacum (common tobacco). RNAcentral describes it as "long non-coding RNA (NTAB_LNC009712)". The record is from RNAcentral. Lineage: Eukaryota; Viridiplantae; Streptophyta; Magnoliopsida; Solanales; Solanaceae.